This 253-nucleotide ribosomal RNA is filed under the name uncultured bacterium. RNAcentral's name for it is "partial 16S ribosomal RNA". It matches the Rfam family "Bacterial small subunit ribosomal RNA", at positions 524 to 776 of the family's 1533-position model. The record is from RNAcentral.
UACGAAGGGGGCUAGCGUUGCUCGGAAUUACUGGGCGUAAAGCGCACGUAGGCGGCUUUCUAAGUCGGGGGUGAAAUCCUGGAGCUUAACUCCAGAACUGCCUUCGAUACUGGAGAGCUCGAGUCCGGGAGAGGUGAGUGGAACUGCGAGUGUAGAGGUGAAAUUCGUAGAUAUUCGCAAGAACACCAGUGGCGAAGGCGGCUCACUGGCCCGGUACUGACGCUGAGGCACGAAAGCGUGGGGAGCAAACAGG